GUGGGGAAUAUUGGACAAUGGGGGGAACCCUGAUCCAGCCAUGCCGCGUGUGUGAAGAAGGCCUUUUGGUUGUAAAGCACUUUAAGCGAGGAGGAGGCUACCGAGAUUAAUACUCUUGGAUAGUGGACGUUACUCGCAGAAUAAGCACCGGCUAACUCUGUGCCAGCAGCCGCGGUAAUACAGAGGGUGCAAGCGUUAAUCGGAUUUACUGGGCGUAAAGCGCGCGUAGGUGGCCAAUUAAGUCAAAUGUGAAAUCCCCGAGCUUAACUUGGGAAUUGCAUUCGAAACUGGUUGGCUAGAGUAUGGGAGAGGAUGGUAGAAUUCCAGGUGUAGCGGUGAAAUGCGUAGAGAUCUGGAGGAAUACCGAUGGCGAAGGCAGCCAUCUGGCCUAAUACUGACACUGAGGUGCGAAAGCAUGGGGAGCAAACAGGAUUAGAAACCCCGGUAGUCC
This 451-nucleotide ribosomal RNA is filed under the name uncultured bacterium. Its description in RNAcentral is "bacterial SSU rRNA". It matches the Rfam family "Bacterial small subunit ribosomal RNA", at positions 354 to 796 of the family's 1533-position model. The record is from RNAcentral.